CUACGUGCCAGCAGCCGCGGUAAUACGUAGGGCGCGAGCGUUGUCCGGAAUUAUUGGGCGUAAAGAGCUUGUAGGCGGUUGGUCGCGUCUGCUGUGAAAGGCUGGGGCUUAACCCUGGUUUUGCAGUGGGUACGGGCUAACUAGAGUGCAGUAGGGGAGACUGGAAUUCCUGGUGUAGCGGUGGAAUGCGCAGAUAUCAGGAGGAACACCGAUGGCGAAGGCAGGUCUCUGGGCUGUAACUGACGCUGAGAAGCGAAAGCAUGGGGAGCGAACAGGAUUAGAUACCCUGGUAGUCCAUGCCGUAAACGUUAGGCACUAGGUGUGGGGGACAUUCCACGUUUUCCGCGCCGUAGCUAACGCAUUAAGUGCCCCGCCCGGGGAGUACGGCCGCAAGGCUAAAACUCAAAGAAAUUGACGGGGGCCCGCACAAGCGGCGGAGCAUGCGGAUUAAUUCGAUGCAACGCGAAG
This 468-nucleotide ribosomal RNA is filed under the name uncultured bacterium. Its description in RNAcentral is "bacterial SSU rRNA". It matches the Rfam family "Bacterial small subunit ribosomal RNA", at positions 501 to 966 of the family's 1533-position model. The record is from RNAcentral.